This 106-nucleotide ribosomal RNA is filed under the name Escherichia coli. The record is from RNAcentral. Lineage: Bacteria; Pseudomonadati; Pseudomonadota; Gammaproteobacteria; Enterobacterales; Enterobacteriaceae.
UAGCGCGGUGGUCCCACCUGACCCCAUGCCGAACUCAGAAGUGAAACGCCGUAGCGCCGAUGGUAGUGUGGGGUCUCCCCUUAUCUGUUGUUUGUCGGUGAACGCU